Molecule: ribosomal RNA, 382 nt
Filed under: uncultured eukaryote
Lineage: Eukaryota
Description: partial 18S ribosomal RNA
Rfam family: Eukaryotic small subunit ribosomal RNA
Source: RNAcentral
CAAUAGCGUAUAUUAAAGUUGUUGCAGUUAAAAAGCUCGUAGUUGGAUUUCUGGAUGGAGCGACCGGUCGGGCAUUAAUUUGUCUGCACUGGAGUCGGUUCCGUCCAUCCUCUUGGAAAGUGCGUCGGGCAUUAAGUUGUUUGGCGUAUGAUCCAAGUCGUUUACUGUGAAAAAAUUAGAGUGUUUAAAGCAGGCCUUCGCCUUGAAUACAUUAGCAUGGAAUAAUAAGAUAGGACUUUGGUCUAUUUUAUUGGUUUGCAGACCGAAGUAAUGAUUAAUAGGGAUAGUUGGGGGUAUUUAUAUUCCGAUGUCAGAGGUGAAAUUCUUAGAUUUUCGGAAGAUAAACUUAUGCGAAAGCAUUUACCAAGGAUGUUUUCAUUAA